Molecule: ribosomal RNA, 498 nt
Filed under: uncultured bacterium
Lineage: Bacteria
Description: partial 16S ribosomal RNA
Rfam family: Bacterial small subunit ribosomal RNA
Source: RNAcentral
GACGAACGCUGGCGGCGUGCCUAAUACAUGCAAGUCGUGCGGACCUUUUAAAAGCUUGCUUUUAAAAGGUUAGCGGCGGACGGGUGAGUAACACGUGGGCAACCUGCCUGUAAGACUGGGAUAACGCCGGGAAACCGGGGCUAAUACCGGAUCGUUUUUCCUCCGCAUGGAGGAAUAAGGAAAGGCGGCUUCGGCUGCCACUUACAGAUGGUCCCGCGGCGCAUUGGCUAGUUGGCGGGGUAACGGCCCACCAAGGCAACGCUGCGUAGCCGACCUGAGAGGGUGAUCGGCCACAUUGGGACUGAGACACGGCCCAAACUCCUACGGGAGGCAGCAGUAGGGAAUCUUCCGCAAUGGACGAAAGUCUGACGGAGCAACGCCGCGUGAGUGAAGAAGGCCUUCGGGUCGUAAAACUCUGUUGCCGGGGAAGAACAAGUGCCGUUCGAACAGGGCGGCGCCUUGACGGUACCCGGCCAGAAAGCCACGGCUAACUACGUG